This is an RNA transcript of Passer domesticus (house sparrow), 11738 nucleotides long. It is a transcript of the gene named serine/threonine/tyrosine interacting like 2, with no coding region annotated. The transcript has 6 exons. NCBI's taxonomy places the organism in Eukaryota, Metazoa, Chordata, Aves, Passeriformes, Passeridae. The record is from RefSeq and is a predicted model, not a curated record.
ACACAGCACCAGAAGAAGAGGCAGGUGGGUUUGUGGUAAGACGCAGCUUCCACUUCCUUUCUGGUUUGCUUGUUUUUGCCAAGAGAAUGUGGAAUGUUUCUGCAUGACUCAAAACUGGAGCCCCCAGUACAGAUAAACAGACUUUAAUCUGAUUCUGUCCUGGGCCAGCCUGGCCCAUGAGCUUUCCUGAGAGGUCAGGAGGUGGGAACUAGAGGCUUCCUUUUUGAAAAGAUGUCAGAAAAGACACAGUGUGGAUCAGUCCUAGCUCUUCUAAGAACAAAAAUCAGCUGGUCUUACAACCACAGAAUCAUUUGGGUCUGAAGGGAUCUUUAAAGAUUAUCCAGCUGAAGCUCCCUUCCACAAGCAGGAACAUUUUUCACCAGACCAGGUUUCUCAAAACCCCACCCACCCUGGCCUUGGACACUUGAGGGAUGGGGCAUCCACAAUUUCUCUGGGCAAUCUGUUCCAGUGCCUCACCAUGCUCAUGAAGAAGUUCUUCCUUGUAUUUAAUCUAGAUCUACCUUCUUGUUUAAAUUCAUUGCCCUUUGUUCCAUCACUACAGGCCCGGGUAAAAUGUCUUUCUCCCUCUUGGUUAUAAAAUCCUCUUUAAGUACAGAAAGGCUGCAUUAAGAUCUCCCUAGAACCUUCUCCAGGAUGAACAGACAUGACUCUCUCAGCCUUUCUCCACAAAAGUGUUCCAGCCUUCUGAUCAACUUUUAGCCCUCCUGUGGACCCUCUCCAAGAGGUCUGUGUUUUGUGCUAGGGGCUGCAGAGCUGAAUGUUGUACUCCAGGUGGGGUUUCACAGGAGCAGAGUGGGACAAUCCCCUCUCCUGACCUGCUGGUCACACUUCUGAAGUACUUCUGAUGCAUAUGGUUGGCAUUAUGGGCUGCAGGUGCACCUGGGUCAUAUUCAAUUGUUCAUCCACCAGUAUUCCCAAAUCCCUUUCCUCCAGGCUGCUCUGGAUCCAUUCAUCCCCAGCCUGUACUGAUAUUGAGGACUACCCCAAGCCAGGUUUAGCACUUGGCCCUGUUGAAUUUAGUGAGGUUUACAUGGGUCCACUUCUCUGUAUGGCAUCCCUGCCCCUGCUGAAUCCAGGGCACCACUCAGCCUGGUGUCCUCUGAGGAAUUCCUGAGCGUGACUCAGUCUCACUCUCUGUGUCAUUAUUAAAGAUACUGAGCAGUACUGGUCCCAGUGCUGGAUCUUGAGGGACACCACUUGUUGACAAUCCCCAUUGGGAUGCUGAGCCAUUGACUGUAUUUGGAUCCCAUCCAGCCACUUCUUUAUCCAUCAAAUACUCCAUCAAUCAAAUCCACCUCUCUCCAAAUUAGAGGUAAGACUGUUGUGUUGGACCAUGCCAAAGUCAAUACAGAAGUCCAGGUAGUUGACAGGUAGCUUACUUUCCCUUAGGUUGGAGUGGGUUCAGCCUGCCCUGCAUUUCCCAAGGAUAUCAGAGGUCAUACCUGCAUUUCAGUUUGUGCCUGGUGGGAUCCCCCUUGCCUGGAGGCUCUCUGCAGGCACAGGUCCAGCCUUGCUGGCUCUGGACUCUUUCCUGCAACUGAGAAACGGUCCAGCCCACGGCAGGGAAGGAGUUAAGUGCUUGACCAGCUGCUGUCUGUGAGGCACUGAAUUCCUUCUCCGUGCAAUCCAGCAGCCAGUGUCAGGACAGCUAUAUUUAGAAAGCUGAUAAAGGUUUGGUGCCAACAGUUGUCCUGCCCCUCGAUGAAGAAGCAGUAGAGAGACUGAGAAGGGGGCAGCUGGUUGCUUUCCCCCCCAGUACCGCUCCUUGCUGUCUUCAGUGGACUCCUUUGCCGUGCUGCCAGCAGGGACCCCCAGUGGAGCCAUCAGGCACAGGGGUAAGUUCCCUUUCCUUGCUCACCCUUCUCCCUGCUCACUGCCCUGUGAGUGACCACGCGGCCGCCAUCCUCCGGCCUGAGCCCGUGGGAGCUGCCGCCGCUCCUGUGGCACUGAGGCAAGCGUCCCUCUGCCUGGGCCAGGGCAAGUGUUGGCUGCGGUGUUUCCACGUUCCUCACUGAGCUGUGGUGCCCUCACCCAGUGUAAGAACAGCAGCCUCCACACAAAUGAUUACAAGGACAAAGUCCCAAGCCUCCAAGCUCCUUUGGCCUUAAGCGUUAGGAGCAUUUCAUUUUGGGGACACGAGGUCUCAUGUUUCUUGCCCCUGACCCUCCUUCCAGCCUGGCUCUGGCUGUGUACAGCUCCUUCCAGCCACCACACGCAGUCAGGCGAGUAUAGAGUUUCUGCCCUGCCACCCCUUCCUUCCUGGCCUUCCAGCACCCUUACUCAUAGGCAAAAGAGCAUUGGAGCUCGCUGGGCAGCAGCCAGGGAGCUGCAUGAGGCCCUGGGAAUGGCAGGAGCCCUGGAAGAGGAGCCAGUGCAGCCCUUGUGGAAAGGGUUCCUCACAGGAGCCAAGUGUGGGAGCCCUUCUGCUGCACCCCCCUGCCCCUUGUGCCCCAGAGCCAGGGAACGGCCUCCUGUGCAGCCCUGUGUAAUGGCUCUCCCUGCUGCCCUGCUCCUUGUAGGGGUCCCCAGCGGCCGCCAUGGCCAGCGGCAGAGAUUCGGACAGCGAGCCGGCGGUGCCCGAGGAGCAGGAGGCGGAGGGCCCGGACGUGAGGGCCGUGCAGGCCCACUACCUGCGCAGCCCCUCGCCCAGCCGGUAUUCAGUGAUAUCAGACACUGAUACAGAGAGCAUCCUCAUGGAGCCAAUCCAUCUGUCAUCUGCUGUAGCUGCCAAACAAAUCAUCAGUGAAGAGCUGAAGACAAAGGACGUCAGGGUGGACUCGGUGUGUCCCAGGAUGUUGGAGUCUGCGCAGCAGCUGAUGGUGGAAGACCUGUACAACCGAGUUAAGGAAAAGAUUGAUGACACCAGCUUGUUUAACACGCCGUGUGUGAUGGACUUGCAGAGGGCACUUGUGAAGGACAGGCUGGAGACCCCCAGGGACGCUGUGGAUGAAGUCUGGCCUAAUGUCUUCAUAGCAGAAAAAAGCGUUGCAGUGAACAAAAGCCGUUUGAAGAGACUGGGGAUCACCCAUGUCCUGAAUGCAGCUCAUGGCACAGGUGUCUAUACAGGGCCCAGUUUCUACAAUGGUCUCAAUAUCCAGUACCUGGGCAUUGAAGUGGAUGAUUUUCCAGAUACAGAUAUCUCCAAACACUUCCGCCCAGCUGCAGAGUUCCUUGACGAAGCCCUGCUGACUUACAGAGGCAGAAUCCUUGUCAGCAGUGAGAUGGGGAUCAGCCGCUCCGCUGUGCUGGUGGCUGCCUACCUGAUGAUCUACCACCACAUGACCGUUCUGGAGGCUCUGAUGACGCUGAGGAAGAAACGCGCCAUCUACCCCAACGACGGCUUCCUGAAGCAGCUGCGGGAGCUCAAUGAGCAGCUCUUGGAGGAGCGAGAGCUGGAGCGUGCUGGAGAUGAGGACGUGACUCCAAGCCAAAGCCCUCUGGCCUAUGCGGGGACUUCUUCACGGCUGUCUGGAGCUGGGGACUCAGGGAGCAUCAAGGGAGCCAAAGCUCACUCCAUCACAGUAGAAGAAGAGGACACCAGCAGCAUUCUGGGUAGUUUUAUGAGCUCUUCAUCCGUGGAAAAAACUAGCUGGGUUUCCAAACACUCCACCCUGAUCACUGAGGAGGAAGAGGAACAAUUGUAUGAGGAAUGGAGGAGGAAACAAGGCCUAUCUACAAAGGAAGCAGGAGUUCACCAUGAAAGAACAUCUCCAAAGCAUCUGGAUCAGGAAGAGGAACAAUCUGAUGAGGAUGUGGAACGGAGGAUCCAUGAUUGGCAGCGCAGAAAUGAGAAAUACCAGAUGUCAGGUACAGCCAGGGAGGAGGAUGGUGAAUGCAGCAUGGGAGGAAGACCCUACCCAUCAGGUGAAUUCAGUGAUGUUGAGAGUGUGAGCAGUUUUGAGAUCCGAACCCUAAAAAAGCAGCUGGAAGCCAGUAGCUUUAGCAGGAUGAGGAGGAGCCGCACAGACUCUACAUCUUCUGAGAGCACCUGGGACAUGUGGAAUCAGAGGCUUCUGGAGAUUGAGAAAGAAGCUGCUCAGAGGUAUCAUUCUAGGAAUAAAAGCUGUGGGGAGAGACAAUCCCCAGAAACGGGAAGAAAGGAGAGGGAUGUGGAUGAGGAGAGUGUGUUUUCAGACUCCUCCUGUAGCUCCUUCUACAAUUUCUGCCAAAAGAACAAGGACAAGUUGACUCCUCUAGAAAGGUGGAAGGUCAAGAGGAUCCAGUUUGGCUUUCACAAGAAGGAUUUAGAACCAUCAUCUGCACCAUCUCCAGCAGAGGAUGGCAGCCAGGCAGGUCAGGAGGAAACAGAAGGGAGGAGUUUGUCAGAUAUUGAUCUGACUGCUUACCAGGCUUGGAAAAUGAAGCGGCAGAAGAAGGUAGGCAGUGAAAGCAGCAAGGAGGAAUUUGUGGAAUUUGCCAAAACUGAGGAUUCUGCUUCAGCUAAAAAGAAGCAGAGGCGUAUAGAGCUCCUUGAACGUUCAAAGAAAAUUUUAGAAGAAAGCCAGUCCAUGUGCAGCUGGGAGACAGAGAGUACAAUGAGUGGGAGUAUUCCCCUCUCAGCUUUCUGGUCUUCAGCGCCUUCUGCAAACGGUGCCGACGAUGCAGCUUCUGCCCUGAGCAUGCAGACAAAUCAUUCAUCUUUGUCACAGGCCAGGAGUUGUGCUGGAGCAAUGCAGAUGCCAAAUAUACCCCUUCCCAAUCUCACAGUUGGCCCAGGUGACACGAUAUCCAUGGCAAGCAUUCAGAACUGGAUCGCUAACGUGGUCAGUGAAACCAUUGCUCAAAAGCAAAAUGAGAUCCUGAUGCUGUCCCGGCCAUCGUCCGCCAUGGCCUCCCUGUCAGGAGACCUUGGCAGGCGUGCAGAUGAUGACAAGGUUUCUCUUCUCAGUGCUCAGAGUGGCUCAUCCCUCGCUGCCUCCCAGCUCCACCAGCAGGACCUGCGCAGGGCUGAGUCUCAGUCUGUGCUGUCUUGCAACACGUCCGUGAGCGCAAGGACAGAAGGGACUACUUCAAACUUGAAGACCCAGACAAGCAAACCACUGUACAGCCUCUUUGCUGAUGAUGUUGACCUAAAGAAGCUAAGGAGGAAGGAGAAGGAGAUGCAAAUGGAAAUGAGAGAAAAAAUGUCAGACUAUCAAAUUGAAAAGGUGAUUAGAGACAAUAAACGCAGCACUUUAUUCAAAAAAAAGGUGACCAAAGCAGAGGAAAAUGAAACAGAAGAUGACAGAGAGAGUACAACAAACAGCCACAGGCGUCCCUUGCAAGCAGAUUUUGACAGAACUGAUGCAGUCUUUGAUCUGUCCAGUCAACCUGGAACCUCAGGUGUACCAAAGUCAGAGGUAGAUACUGAUAUUACCAAGUGGCUGAACGGCCUCAAAGCAGAAAGAGAACCACCAUCAUAUUAUGAUCAGACUGAGAACGCUAGAGAGAAAUAUAGCAGAUCAUCCAGAGUUAGACAGAUGGAUUCUGAGACAUCCAGUUACAGAUUCUGCAGAUCCCAAAGAAAAGAGCUAGAUAGCUGUUCUUCCUACGAGUCAACAGGAGAUUCACUGAGAACCAUGUCAAGAUUUUCCUCUGCUUCUGCAAAAGAGGACAAAAAGAUGUACAAGUUCACAAGGUCCAGGGUCAGUGAGACAAGUUCCAGAGGAAACAGCCCAGAGCUGCAUGUUUUCAACCAGUCACCUGAACCACCCUUUGACUCUGAAUCCCCUGAAACAUCUACACAGAGCCGAGUUAGAGCUCAUCAUGUGGAGGCAUGUGAAGAGGAGGCCAGGUCAGACGUGUCAGAAUGUGGAGCAAAGAGAAAGUUCACCCAGAGCUUUUCAAAGUCUGAAGAGGAUGGGAAGAAGGAGGCAAAAGUGGAGCAAAGUGAAGAAAGGUUUGCGUCUAGGCAGGUCUCUCAGUACAGGCGAAGCACACGUAAAGAAGAGGAAGAGGAGAUGGAUGAUGAUGCCAUUAUUGCUGCUUGGAGAAGCCGACUAGAAGAAACUACAGCAAAGCUCCAGCGGAGAAGGGAAGAGUGACCAAGAUCAGACUACAGGAACACAAGCAGAGCCACACAGUCCCUGAAUCACUCAUCAUUAUACUUUUGAUAAUCCUUUGUGGUUUGUAGGGCAUUUCCUGCAGCUAGUUCUCUUCUUAAUCAAAAGCGAUGAAGGGAAGAGGUCAAGUUCUGCAAGUGUUUGUGGUUUGUCAGAAAGAAGAUGCUGGUAUUAAAUGAUCAAUGUAGGUAGGAACACAAUGUUAGAAGCCAUUAGGAGCCAGACGAUGUUUCAGCAGCAAAAGCAGGUAACGGUGACACCUCAAGUCAAAAGACCAAUCACAUCCCAUUUUGGUUAUUUCAAUUUCCUAGUGUCGUUAAAGACUGGACAUGUUUUUUUCUAGGAUCUUUUUGAUCAUAAAUGGAAGAAGCCAACAGCCUUUUCUAGGAACUUAAAGACUGUUUUUCUCUUAAUCAGUUUUACUUUAUACGACUGAGAAGAUAUUACCAGUGCACCCUUCAUGCCAACAUGCCUGAGUGCUUUAUGGUCAUUAAAUUAAAUCAAAGAACACACCACAGAAUGGACAAGGCCAGAUCAAUAAAUCUUAAAACCUGAUUCAAAGUUACCAAGGACUCUGCACAAGUAACCAUGACAGGAAGGAUGACUCCAGUCAGGAGGGCAUGUGUGUGGGCAUAAAACUGAAACAAGACUUAGGUGAUACUAAUUAGAAGACAGAACCAUUUAAAGGAACUGUAAUUUUUAUAGCAUCACCCAGCUGCCCACAGCAUCAACCUGCAGCUUCAUGUUUUAAGGGUAUUUUCAGAUGUAUGAGUGAUAUAAGAAAAUAACAAUGGCAGCAAGAUCUUUUUACAGUUUUUACAGCUGUAUGCUUCAGGGCACCUCUUGCCUAAUUUUAAAGAUUUGCCUAUUUGUGAUCUCUUCAUUUGAUUAUUGAAGGGCACCAUAUUAAAGAAAGAUGCAGUAAACACCAGCUGGCAAUAACCACAGUGUGACUGCUCUGUCUUCAUGGAGCAUCCCAGCAAUUUCAUCUUUGAAAUGACUCCAUGCUGAACUCAGAUCCAGUCAGAAGUCAUCCAUUAGUUGGGCAGAACAUUUCUCCCUCCUUGCUUGAGAGGAGAGCUUUAUGAAACUGCAAUACCUUUUAUGAAACUGCCAAUUAAUGGGGAGCUUUGUACAUUUUGCUCAUAGAAAUAUCCCAGUAGCUGUCACAACCUAUGGAGGUUCAUUCCCAAAGCACAUAAAAUGACCACAGGCCUAACUACGUUCAAAACUAAAAGCAAACCCCAGUUCUUCAACUUAAACUUCCCUCCCUCAAUAAUGUCGAGGCAUGUGCUCCUCAGUCUGUGAAUUGGAUCAAAAAUAUUGCCUAGAGGCACAGGGUCAGAGGAGAUUCCACUUAUGAAAAACAGGAGGCCCUCAAAAGGGUGCAACCUCAGUUGCUGAACAGACACCACAAAUAGGAUGGAUAAAAGCCCACAUGAGACUGGUAUGUGAGCAAGCAGAAGCUGACAGUUGCCCCUCAGGAAUAGAGUAUAAAGCUUUCAGUUCUGCAGGAGAUGUGAUCUGAAAGUCUGCUUCCUGGAAGCAAUCGCACCUGAACUGUUGCAUGGUGCUGCAGUUGCAUAAUUUAAUAGUUGUCAUGUUUCAUUCCAAGGUGAGUGUUCUUGGUGGUAGUGUACAUAAAAAAUUUGUAUGUCAUUAGGGAUAAAAGGGUCUAUGCCAGACAAGGUCAGAUAUUAUCCUCAUGAGUGGUAGAAGAGGUCCAUAUUAAAACAAAGAAGGUGUUUGAUUUCUUUUUGAACGUGGGCAGAUGAUUCAGACCCACGUGCCCUUCAUAUGCUCUGUCUCUCCCCUUCCUAUCUCCUUUCUUUUGAAACAGAUUUAAGUCCAUCUACUUUUAUAUUUUCAAACAAAACCCAUAAAAGGGCCAUAAAUAUCAUGACUCGCUAAAAUGAAAGCUGUUUUCUUCUUCUCCCAGGAGACUCCUGCCUGAGAGAGAGACAGAAAGAGUUCACCUCUUUGAAAAUUUCCUCCUCUGUCGAAGUAAAGCUGGUAUCUAAAAGCAGCUUUCAAGGCUUUGUUCUUAUCAUCUUGACCUGGCUUUGUACUGGCUUCUCUCUGUAUUGCUUGUGGAAGUGUGAAGGACGGGGCUAGGGGAAGGAGUUUUGGCUAUCACUGGCAGAGCAAGGGUCAUGCUUGGAAAGGGAUUUCAUUGUGGUUUCAGAAAACAUUAUAAAACUCAGUGCAGUGGCAGAAAGAAUGAAGAAACUCAUUCCCCUCCUGGAUCAGACCAGUGAUCCACCCUUUGUGUCUCUGAUGUUGGCCAGAACCAGAUUCACCUCAGAAGAUGUAAAGAAAGUUUAAGUGGGUAAUUAUGGAAUAACCUGCCCUGAGUAAAAUUUUCUCCCCUUCUGGCCCAAAGCCCUCCUUCAUCUCUCCUCCUUGGUUAGAGUUCAACUCUAUGCCCUGAAGCAUGACGGCUUCUCUCCCUUCCAAACCGCUUUUCAUCCUGGCCUGUCUCAUGUAACUGCCUAUGACAGUGAUGGGAUGUAUAGGUCUUGUCCACUGAGAGUCUGUGACAGAUCAUAGCCUUAUUGGAAAGAGAGGCAGAGAGGCUGAAGAGAAGGCGAGGGAGGAGAGCAUAAACUCAGAUGAAAUAUCCAUCAGGAAGAUGGAAAGAAGAGUGAGUGCCUGGGAAACUAAUUGCUGCCUGCUGAUCUGGGCUGUGGAGAUAGCUUGCAAGUGAGCAUUUUUAGUUUUCAGAGAUUUCAGCCUGGAGCACACUAGGAACGUCAACUCUUGGUUGAAAUUACUAAUCAUCAAUAUUUCCCUUUUUAUACAUAUAUUUUUAAUUUUUUUUAAGCUGUAGAAGUAUGAAGUAGUCCUAAGAAAACAAUUCCAUUAUAAUCUAAGGGUGCUUUUUCUUCCACUGCAGUUCACUACUCAUUUCUGAAAAGGUAUUGGCAUAAUUUGGGGUUCUUAGACACUGAACAUGGAUUAAAAUCAGGCUAUUUUUCUACUGCCCAAAAACUAUUUAGGAAUCCAAAGUUAGAUAUUCCUGCCUAGGUCCUUAUCCCUAUCACAGAGAGAUGGCUGCUCAUAAUCCUGAGUAGAGCAAAGCCCAGCUUCCGUGGAUUUGUUUGGCCAUCGCAUAGGGCAUCAAAAUUUAUGUGACAUAAUGCCAGAUGCCCCAAGGUAAUGAUUAGAAUUGUUUAGCACAUGAAAGCUCUUGACUUUUUAGAUAUUGUCAACAUUAUCGCAGGUGAUAAUAUACCACAAAAAGUAUUAACAAACUUCCAAGGAUUGCUUAAAUGUAUUUUCCAGAUGGACACUUUCCAGUUGUAUGCGGGUUGAAUGACAGCUUUCACUUAUUUGUCAACAAUUCCUAGGGAGAGGGAAAGAAGAGCUAGGUUUUGGAUUGUAUCCAAGUCUCAGUAAUGAUUAAUUUCACUCCCAUAGUAUCCAUUGUUUCCCAUAUUCCUUUCCCUCAAAAGUGUGGCGAAGGGAUCUGGAGUUUUCCAAGUGAUGGGUGUUGAAAUCACACCCAGUCUCCUGGAUACCACGCUGAGGUGUUCAAAGCAUCCUGCUGGUGUUGGCUGAGCACAGGAGAUUGUUCAUUAAGAAAAAUGACUGUAUCAUUCAUACUAGGCACAGCUGCAGUGAGCAGCUCAGUGGCAGUGUUCAAGGCUCUGUAAUCUCCUGUUAGUUGCCACUUGCCAUUAGAUUUUUUUACUGGCCAUAAAGGAGAAUUGUAGGGGAAAUGAGACGUGACGAUAAUUCCCUGUUCUUCCAGCUCCUUUAUCAAUUCAGUAACAGGACAAAUAGCAGCAGAAGGUAAUGUGUAUUGUGGAAUAUUAACUGCCUUACUAUGGGGCAAAGGAGCAGCUGUUUGCAACAGAUUAGCAGUUAGAAAUGCAUCUGUAGGAGAUAAACUCGGGGACAGAAAGGGCGAUGUCCCUCUUUCCCGUUUUCCCCACAACUGACCCUUCAGUACAUCCUUGCCCAGUAUAUUAAGGGCACCCAAAAGUGAGGUCAGGUGGAUUGCCUGUCCCUUAGACAGAAUCAGCUUUGCCCCGACCAGAGGGUGGUGGGUGGGUUUCCCAUUAUGGCCUGCCAUAGAAACUUGACUGCUUGCAAAGCAGAGGCUGCCCUUUGUAAGUGUCCUUACGUACCGUGGAUAUCCAGAUUCCUGUGUCAGUGAGGAAUGUUGUAGGGUAGGGAUGGAUCAUUAAUUUGGGAGCAUCAUCUUGGGACUGAGAUCCUCAGCAGUGGGAGUAGCACCCACCUUAAUUUCCUAAAUAUCCAGUCUAGGUUUAGUGCUGGUAGGUUUGGAUAUAUCCCUGAGCUUACAGCACUUGCAUGCUCUAUCCCUUUGAACCAUAUGGUGUCACCCCAUCUCCAAACACAGAUCCCAGAGGGUUAUGAGAAGUAAAUGAGGAAAACUUGUCUAUUGCUACAAAAGGAAAGUUGGCAUUUCGGAGACAGCUCUUUCCCUAAACAUAUUUUCCAUCAUCUUUUACACUCAGGAGUAACUGACCAGGUUUCUCAAUUUCUGCUUUUGUCUUUCACACGGAGGCAGGCUCGGCUCUUUUACAUUUUCUCUAGCUGAGGAUCUCUCUUGGUUUUUACCCUCUGGGAUGUAUAGUGGUAUAUCUGCCAGCCUACACUGAAGGACAUCUUGGAGAGUAAUACCGUUUAAGCUGUCUUAAUGGCCAGUGCUAAAGAUUCCCACACCCCCCCAGCUUCCAUUAGACACCAUCAGAAGUGUGCAGGCUCCCAAAUUACCUCCCAAGGAUGCAGUUCUGCUGGGAGGGGUUGUCAGGCUCCUGGAGUAAGGGGUGCUGUUCCAUCUAAUUCAGCUAAAAUCACUGUUUUCACCAUGGCUGCAUAAAGGCCCUUUGGUUCUUCCUGGCCACCUGUCCUGUCUACCUGACUCUGCUUCAAUCCAAUGCUGCUGCUUGCAGCACACAUCAGGCCUUAGCAUGAGCUGGGCUGGCCAAACCAGGAGCCUGAGUCCCAGAAAGGCCAGGGUCUUAAGCAAACAAACAAAAACAAACAAAAGGGCUUGGUUUUUUUUUAUUAUUAUUAUUAUUAAUCAGGAAAUGUAGUGAUAGAAAGUGGGGUAACCAUUUUAAACUGAAAAAGUGUAGCUUUAUAUUAAAUAAUGGGGUAGAUUUAUAUUAAAUAUUGGGAAGAAAUUCCUUACUGUGAGGGUGGUGAGGCCCUGGCACAGGUUGCCCAGGGAAGUUGUGGAUGCCCCGCACCUGGAAGUGUUCAAGGCCAGGUUGGAUGGGGCUCUGAGCAACCUGGUCUGAUGGAAAGUGUCCCUGCCCAUGGCAGGGGGGUGGGAACUGGAUGGCCUUUAUGGUCACAUCCAACCCAAAACAUUAUAUGGUUCUAUGACUGUUUUUUCUAUUCCACUUACAAAGUGCCACUUUGUAAGGGUGAUAAGAAUAUUAAUUCACUGAACUGACCUUAUACAUGUGUCCACAACUUGGUCUGAUGAUGCUUACACACUGUAGGAUAAUCCCUUAUUUCUGUGGCAAAUCUCUCUUGUGUCGACAAUUAAGUACCCUUUAUAAUUCCAUUUUUGGCUAUGAUUACAGCAACAUAGCUAUUACAAAUGUAUAGAAAAUGUAAAUAACUUACCUGAUAUUUUUCCUAGCCACCUUUCUCCUUGCCUCUCCUUCAGUUAUGAAUGCCUUGGAGAAGAGA